Molecule: small nucleolar RNA, 107 nt
Organism: Lathyrus oleraceus (garden pea)
Lineage: Eukaryota; Viridiplantae; Streptophyta; Magnoliopsida; Fabales; Fabaceae
Source: RefSeq, a predicted model, not a curated record
GUGUUACAAUAUGGGUAUGCUCUCAUUAACUCCUUAAAUCACUCACAUGCUUCAAAAAGCAAUUCACCGUCCAUCUGCCUAAAACAGGUAAUCUGGUUCCUCAAUUG